AACGAACGCUGGCGGCAGGCCUAACACAUGCAAGUCGAGCGCCCCAGCGAUGGGGAGCGGCGGACGGGUGAGUAACGCGUGGGAACGUGCCUCUUGCUACGGAAUAGCCUCGGGAAACUGGGAGUAAUACCGUAUGUGCCCUACGGGGGAAAGAUUUAUCGGCAAGAGAUCGGCCCGCGUUGGAUUAGGUAGUUGGUGGGGUAAUGGCCUACCAAGCCGACGAUCCAUAGCUGGUUUGAGAGGAUGAUCAGCCACACUGGGACUGAGACACGGCCCAGACUCCUACGGGAGGCAGCAGUGGGGAAUCUUAGACAAUGGGCGCAAGCCUGAUCUAGCCAUGCCGCGUGAGCGAUGAAGGCCUUAGGGUUGUAAAGCUCUUUCAGUGGGGAAGAUAAUGACUGUACCACAGAAGAAGCCCCGGCUAACUCCGUG
This 432-nucleotide ribosomal RNA is filed under the name uncultured bacterium. RNAcentral describes it as "bacterial SSU rRNA". It matches the Rfam family "Bacterial small subunit ribosomal RNA", at positions 29 to 507 of the family's 1533-position model. The record is from RNAcentral.